This 253-nucleotide ribosomal RNA is filed under the name uncultured bacterium. RNAcentral's name for it is "partial 16S ribosomal RNA". It matches the Rfam family "Bacterial small subunit ribosomal RNA", at positions 524 to 776 of the family's 1533-position model. The record is from RNAcentral.
UACGUAGGGGGCUAGCGUUGUCCGGAAUCAUUGGGCGUAAAGAGCGUGUAGGCGGCCAGGUAGGUCCGUUGUGAAAACUCGAGGCUCAACCUCGAGACGUCGAUGGAAACCAUCUGGCUAGAGUCCGGAAGAGGAGAGUGGAAUUCCUGGUGUAGCGGUGAAAUGCGCAGAUAUCAGGAAGAACACCUAUGGCUAAGGCAGCUCUCUGGGACGGUACUGACGCUGAGACGCGAAAGCGUGGGGAGCGAACAGG